GGCCCGUUGGUCAAGCGGUUAAGACACCGCCCUUUCACGGCGGUAACACGGGUUCGAAUCGCGUACGGGUCA
RNAcentral lists this transfer RNA (72 nucleotides) under Listeria monocytogenes. RNAcentral describes it as "tRNA-Glu". It matches the Rfam family "tRNA". From Rfam's summary of the family: Transfer RNA (tRNA) molecules are approximately 80 nucleotides in length. Lineage: Bacteria; Bacillati; Bacillota; Bacilli; Caryophanales; Listeriaceae. The record is from RNAcentral.